RNAcentral lists this ribosomal RNA (465 nucleotides) under uncultured bacterium. RNAcentral's name for it is "partial 16S ribosomal RNA". It matches the Rfam family "Bacterial small subunit ribosomal RNA", at positions 28 to 507 of the family's 1533-position model. The record is from RNAcentral.
GAUGAACGCUGGCGGCGUGCUUAACACAUGCAAGUCGAACGGAAAGGCUCCUGCUUGCAGGGGUACUCGAGUGGCGAACGGGUGAGUAACACGUGGGUGAUCUGCCCUGCACUUCGGGAUAAGCCUGGGAAACUGGGUCUAAUACCGGACAGGACGAUGGUUUGGAUGCCAUUGUGGAAAGUUUUUCGGUGUGGGAUGAGCUCGCGGCCUAUCAGCUUGUUGGUGGGGUAAUGGCCUACCAAGGCGUCGACGGGUAGCCGGCCUGAGAGGGUGUACGGCCACAUUGGGACUGAGAUACGGCCCAGACUCCUACGGGAGGCAGCAGUGGGGAAUAUUGCACAAUGGGCGCAAGCCUGAUGCAGCGACGCCGCGUGGGGGAUGACGGCCUUCGGGUUGUAAACUCCUUUCGCUAGGGACGAAGCGCAAGUGACGGUACCUGGAGAAGAAGCACCGGCUAACUACGUG